RNAcentral lists this ribosomal RNA (655 nucleotides) under uncultured Clostridium sp. RNAcentral's name for it is "bacterial SSU rRNA". It matches the Rfam family "Bacterial small subunit ribosomal RNA", at positions 64 to 747 of the family's 1533-position model. Lineage: Bacteria; Bacillati; Bacillota; Clostridia; Eubacteriales; Clostridiaceae. The record is from RNAcentral.
GAGCGAUCUUCUUCGGAAGAGAGCGGCGGACGGGUGAGUAACGUGUGGGUAACCUGCCCUGUACACACGGGUAACAUACCGAAAGGUAUGCUAAUACGGGAUAACAUAAGAAAGUCGCAUGGAUUUCUUAUCAAAGCUUUUGCGGUACAGGAUGGACCCGCGUCUGAUUAGCUAGUUGGUAAGGUAACGGCUUACCAAGGCGACGAUCAGUAGCCGACCUGAGAGGGUGAUCGGCCACAUUGGAACUGAGACACGGUCCAAACUCCUACGGGAGGCAGCAGUGGGGAAUAUUGCACAAUGGGCGAAAGCCUGAUGCAGCAACGCCGCGUGAGCGAUGAAGGCCUUCGGGUCGUAAAGCUCUGUCCUCAAGGAAGAUAAUGACGGUACUUGAGGAGGAAGCCCCGGCUAACUACGUGCCAGCAGCCGCGGUAAUACGUAGGGGGCUAGCGUUAUCCGGAAUUACUGGGCGUAAAGGGUGCGUAGGCGGUCUUUCAAGUCAGAAGUGAAAGGCUACGGCUCAACCGUAGUAAGCUUUUGAAACUGUAAGACUUGAGUGCAGGAGAGGAGAGUGGAAUUCCUAGUGUAGCGGUGAAAUGCGUAGAUAUUAGGAGGAACACCAGUUGCGAAGGCGGCCCUCUGGACUGUAACUGACGCU